AACUCCAGAAAACAAAUCUCUUACUAAAAAUUGUAGGCAAAAUGGAGGCUAUUGGUGUUCUAAAGGAAAACGCACUGCGGCUGGUUUCGGCUGGGCAACCCAUUAGCGCGCUGCAUUUGGUUGAAGUACUCUGCGAGCUGCAGCCGAACAGCGACGAAAACCGUUCCUUGAAAAUUCGGUGUCUUUACGAACUGCGUGAGUUUGACAGCGUGUUAAAGCUAGCCAAGCAGAUGACUUUUGCGUGCGAUCAAAACAGCGAGGUGUUUUUGCUGGCUGUGAAGGCUGCAUUCGAGCUUGGGGAUCUCAAGACAUGCGUUCAGUACGCAAUGACUCUCAUCAACGCUGAUUCAUCGAAGGUGGUUGCGAUGUGCUUUGUAGCCAAAGCUGCUGAACUGUCCGGCGAUCCCGCGAAAGCUGUGCGUUUUUACAAAAUGGCUCUUGAGGCUGACCCAUUUUGCGGCGAAGCAUUCAGCGCACUGACAGAGCGUCAUCUUCUAGAUCGCUGGGAGAUGCUGAAGCUGAUAGAUUCACUUUGCAUACCAGCCGAGGUCGAAGUCUAUCGAAGCACUCUGAAAGCACGUAUCGGCUCUGAUUAUCUCACACCUGGUAUCAGCGGUGUGCCUCGGACGCUGGUGCUGCUUGCCGGAGCGAAAAAAGAAUAUGAGAGCAACAAUUUGCGCCAGGCACUCUCGUUGACGACGGAAAUUCUGGAGGUGGAACCAUAUCACCGCCAGACAUUGUGUCUGCAUCUGUGCAUCCUUGUGGAUUCAAAGGCAACACCACUGCUUUUCGAAAAAGCACACUUUCUUUCCAAGAACAAGUGCUACACGGAGCUGGCAGUGUACGCAAUCGGGUGCUUCUAUUACUCUCUAUCGAACUACGAGCGAGCGGGGCGGUACUUUAGCCGCGCAAGUGAACUAGACUGCUAUUUCGCUGAAGCGUGGAUUGCAUACGGUCACUGCUACGCAAAGCUGGAGGAGGGCGAGCAAGCUCUGAAUGUCUAUCGCCGCGCGAUGAACUUUUUUCCUGGGCUCAACGCGUGUUGUACGUACGUUGGUAUGCAGUACAGUAGGGUUAACCAGCGCUCCGUUGCGCGGUGCUUUUUUGAGGAGUCACUGCGAAAAAACUCUAUGGAUCCCCUUGUGCUCAACGAGCUGGGCGUUCUGGCGCUUGCAGAGGAUAAUCCUAAACAAGCACUCGAGCUAUUUCAAAGAGCGUACGACAGUCUUCCGAAUCGCGAGAAUCCGUCUGAACACAGCGAUUGCAUCCUGUUUAAUUUGGCCACCAUGUACCGCAAGCUGCGCCGCUACGAAGCCGCCAUUGAUUACUACAAUCAAUACGUCAGAAGUCGACCAAAUGCCAGCCACGGUCACUGCGCUCUUGGCUUCACGUACCAUCUCUCAGGAAACAUCAAGGCUGCUAUCAGCUGCUAUCACACAGCAGAGAGCAUCAAACCAGACUCAUUUUGCCGAGAUCUGCUGCGGAGAGCACUCGAACUUGACUUUGGAGCUCGCGGAAGGCUCUCGUGGGAUUCUGAGAGGCCGCAUUUAUCCUUCUCACCCGGAGAAGUCUCUUUUUCGACAGUUUCGCGAAGGUUUCGCUCUGAGUCGACCGCAGCAGACAGCGUAGCCGCCUCUCCACCACCUAGAGUCGGUCGCAGUCUAGAUUUUCAGCAUCAAUGACAUCAUUACAUGCAAAAAUAAAAUUACCUUCUCGAUGCGAUACCCCUCUUCUCGCAGCGCAUAAUGCUGCUUGUUUCACACGCUCGUUCUCGAUACCGUGAUGCCUUCACACUCUGAGCCCGUCGAAGUGUCAAGGACAGCAUCCUUAAAUCUCAAAUGUGCUCGUCUGCAUGUCCUUUCUCUUCAACCUCACAUCUUCUCCUUUUUCAUCUUCAG
RNAcentral lists this unclassified non-coding RNA (1898 nucleotides) under Leishmania donovani. Its description in RNAcentral is "gene:LdHU3.30.0940(CDS-product:CDC16_putative)". Lineage: Eukaryota; Euglenozoa; Kinetoplastea; Trypanosomatida; Trypanosomatidae. The record is from RNAcentral.